UACGGAGGGUGCAAGCGUUAUCCGGAUUCACUGGGUUUAAAGGGUGCGUAGGCGGGUAUGUAAGUCAGUGGUGAAAUCCCCGAGCUUAACUCGGGAACUGCCAUUGAUACUAUAUAUCUUGAAUAUUCUGGAGGUAUGCGGAAUAUGUCAUGUAGCGGUGAAAUGCUUAGAGAUGACAUAGAACACCUAUUGCGAAGGCAGCAUACUACGGAAAGAUUGACGCUGAGGCACGAAAAGUGUGGGGGAUCAAAACAGG
RNAcentral lists this ribosomal RNA (256 nucleotides) under uncultured bacterium. RNAcentral describes it as "partial 16S ribosomal RNA". It matches the Rfam family "Bacterial small subunit ribosomal RNA", at positions 524 to 776 of the family's 1533-position model. The record is from RNAcentral.